AACGAACGCUGGCGGCAUGCCUAACACAUGCAAGUCGAACGAGACCUUCGGGUCUAGUGGCGCACGGGUGCGUAACGCGUGGGAACCUGCCCUUAGGUUCGGAAUAACUCCCCGAAAGGGGUGCUAAUACCGGAUAAUGUCUUCGGACCAAAGAUUUAUCGCCUUUGGAUGGGCCCGCGUUGGAUUAGCUAGUUGGUAGGGUAAAAGCCUACCAAGGCGACGAUCCAUAGCUGGUCUGAGAGGAUGAUCAGCCACACCGGGACUGAGACACGGCCCAGACUCCUACGGGAGGUAGCAGUGGGGAAUAUUGGACAAUGGGCGAAAGCCUGAUCCAGCAAUGCCGCGUGAGUGAUGAAGGCCUUAGGGUUGUAAAGCUCUUUUACCCGGGAUGAUAAUGACAGUACCGGGAGAAUAAGCUCCGGCUAACUCCGUG
This 433-nucleotide ribosomal RNA is filed under the name uncultured bacterium. Its description in RNAcentral is "partial 16S ribosomal RNA". It matches the Rfam family "Bacterial small subunit ribosomal RNA", at positions 29 to 507 of the family's 1533-position model. The record is from RNAcentral.